Molecule: ribosomal RNA, 3563 nt
Filed under: Triticum aestivum (bread wheat)
Lineage: Eukaryota; Viridiplantae; Streptophyta; Magnoliopsida; Poales; Poaceae
Description: partial small subunit ribosomal RNA
Source: RNAcentral
AGACUUAGCCCACUACCGUGCAUGCUGGAUAGGGUUCCCCGCCACCCUCACCGGUCGCCGCCGCCGCCCUCACCGGUCGCCGCCGCCAUCGGUUUCCCCUACAUGGCCGGAGGAUAGGCCAUCCCGCCUGUCCAUUCCCGCCCCACCGCGAGGGAGAAGACCGACCAGUUGCGCCUCCCCGCCGGUCGCCCCCCGCCACCCCAAGGAUCAAGGUCGGCCGCGCCGGUCCCCGUCGGUCGCUGCUCCGGAUCCAGGCCGCCCACCGCCCCGCCCCCAUCAGCCCGGUCUAUUUCCCACCGGAUCCCAUCUUCGCCGCCGUCCGACGUGCCUUCUUCAAGGAGCUGCGACCCCAUGUCUCAGAGGAGCUAGCCCCGACGCCAGUGAUGCCCGAGCGACGCUCCCAAGCUAUGGUGAGCCCCUGCGCCACCGCCCUCUCUCCUCUCCUCCCCUACUCCCUCACCCAUCUCUCUCCCCCGCAGACGUACCCCGCCGCCAGGAGGCCAGGAGGCCGCCAUGGAGGCCCGUCCCNAGCUCGCCUCGCUGCUCCUCCGGUGACCCUCGCGAGCGGCGCGACCGGAUGGGGCACGAACCCUAGCGGCGCGGUCGGAUGGGUAACGGACCCUAGCGGCGUGGCCGGAUGGGGCACGGGCGCCAGCGGUGGAGCUGGUUGGGGUGCGGCGGCCAACAGGCAUGAGAUUCAAUCGUGAACGAUGAUUAAUCGGGCCAUUAAUGCCAAUCGACGCUCCGGCAGCUGGUCCUUUCCUACUCUGCUCAGUUUCGCAAACCACAGUCCAAAAGCAAGGUGAUGGGUGUUGCUUAGGUUCCAGCUCUGUUUGGUUUAAGAUUCUCUCCAGGUUGGAAUUCUAGCGACGUACUGCUUGGUAUCUUUGGUUCUUCCAGUUGAUCCAACGGCUAAUGGACAACCCAGACUGGCCGCUGCUCCUUUCCCAAUCUCCUCACUCUUGCAAACCAAUCUCCAGCAGCGAUGGGUGAUGUUCAGGUGUUCUGUUGGAUUAGAAAGUUUAGGAAUUAACCAUUUGGAAGGUGAUCCACUGGUUUCUAUGUUUCCAAUCUAUACAGUACCUCUUGCUGCUCCCCUGAGCAAUUAUUUGACCAUUCACCAAUAUUAUACUACAUACUUUGUACUCCGGUCCAAUGUUAUCCCAUGUACAGAUUUGUUCUUUGUCUAAUUUAUAGAUUCUAAUGCUUGGAUGCUCGAUACAAGGUCGAAUUCAAGCUAUGUACUGCUGGUUUCCUUUCUUUCCUCCACGGCGACCUGAUACGGCCCAUACGGGCUGCAAGGAGGCUCCAGAGUUACCACUACCAUUGGUCCUCCCUGCCAUUUGCUGAAUUAUGCUUCAUCGCAUAUUAGCCAGAAUUCGUGGCUGUUGUUCUAUAAUCGUAAUCGAUCAAGCCACUUCCCAGUGCUUAUGUAAUCUUUGUACUGGUAGGAACUAGGAAUUUGGAAAAACAAAUCAGUACUACUAAUUUACCGUGGAGCCGUGACAACAUCGUGCUUUGUUUAUUCACUUUUAAAAGUUAAACUUAAACUGGCAAAGUGGUUACUGUUUUAUUUCAUCCCUGUUAGUCAAAGCUCAUGUAAUGUGACUUGCCAAGUUUCUGUUGAAUGUAUUGUUUAAAAAGAAAGAUCCGAAGGACUGAUUAUUUGGCAUCAAAUUAAGUACUGUCCUGCAUGAACUUUGUCAUGUUUACCCUCUUCUAUAUUUUUUAUAUGCUUUACCAACUAUAUCUCCUGAUGUUAUAAGUAUUACCUUUGUAGGCUGAUACUAUUACAGUGAAGACAUAGAACAUGAAUUAUAGAAGUUAUUGAGCAAGGAGUGAGGCAGGACAAUGCUGCAAGGAGAAACAUCAGUAUGAGCUGCAAGGACAAGAUGCCCACCCAGCCUGUGCUGGCAGCAACCUGACUUCGUUGUCAACAACUUGAUGAGGACCAAAUCGACUUCAGAUUAUUUCUAGAAGAUGCUAUAUACAAAUCCUUUCUCUGCAAUUUUUUGCCUCACACAACUUUCACCCUUUUCAAGCCAACGCCGUCGGCCAGUACAACCACUUCCUCCUCCUUCAUUUAUCUCUCUCUUGCUGACUGCCUUCCUGCUUCCUUCAGGCAGAUUCAUGAUGCACACAUGAGCAAAGUCAAAUUUAAUCGCACCCAGAAGAUGGCGGCAAGCACAUUUGGCUGCCGGGACAAGAAAUAGUUUAUCCGUCACUGCCAUUUGCAUUAUCCAUGCCUGUUGAUGUGGUUGAUACUUACAGCAAGUACUCGCUCAUCCUCUCACUGAAUCUAUAGUUUUAUCUUCCUAGCUGUUUAUGGCUGAAACUGGGGAUUACGUAUUACAAGCUCGCAGUUAUGUACUGCUGGAGAAGGAAAAAUUAGUCAGUGGCUGCUGUUGAUGCUCAUGCCCUUUUGCCGGAAAUAGUAACAACAACAGCAGUCACCUUGGGUAAUUUCUCUUACCCAAUAUAUUUACAGUUGUCUCUCUAAGCUAUUUAUGUGUCAAAUUCAGGACGAGGCAAGGUAGACCUCAGAACUAUGUAUGACGUUUCUUUACUGAUGGUGUGUUGGAAUCUUUUUUAUGAAUGAAUAGUUUAUCCGUCACAGCCAUUUGCAUUAUCCAUGCCUGUUGACGUGGUUGAUACUUACAGCAAAUACUCGCCCAUCCACUCACUGAAUCUAUAGUUUUAUCUUCAUAGCAGUUUAUGGCUGAAACUGGGGAUUACGUAUUACAAGCGUGCCUCACAGUUAUGUACUGCUGGAGAAGGAAUAAUUAGUCAGUGGNNNNNNNNNNUGUUGUUGAUGGUCAUGCCCUUUUGCCGGAAAUAGUAACAACAGCAACAGUCACCUUGGUAAUUUCUCCUACCCAAUAUAUUUACAAUUGUCUCUCUAAGCUAUUUAUGGGUCAAAUUCAGGACGAGGCAAGGCAGCCUCAGAACUAUGUAUGACGUUUCUUUACUGAUGGUGUGUUGGAAUCUUUUUUAUGAAUGAACUAGAUUUCUAUGCAGCAAAAACUAUAAUAUACUGAAUCCACCAAUGAGAGUAACUACAACACGUGUUACUGGACUUCCCCUAUUAGUAAAUCCGUUUGCAUGUUAUAAUUUAUAGACUGGACUUGCUGUUGUGAGGAGUUCACACAUCCAUUGGAAUAGUUUUCCCGCUAGAGAGUCCUUGCCAAAUCUGCAUCAGAAGAUUGGAUGUUUGUUUUUUCUGCCAUGCCUAUUUUCUUGCUAUAUAUCUCAUGCGUCUUUCUAUCUAUCUUUACAAGAUUCUGAAUAUCUGCUUUUAAAAUUUGUAUCAUUUGCUGCAAACACUUUAAUUCUUCUUUCCCAUUUUGUAGAUUUGCUUCAGAUCACGGAAGCUUGGGUUGAUGGAGUGCUUGUCUUUAGUUUUUGUUUUGACUUUGUGAAACUUGCUACCUAUGAUGAAACUGUGUAAUAUUGAUGAAACUAUGUAUAUGUAUGGAUGAAACUUGCUACUAUUGGUAACAUGUGUUGGAUAUGUGUUCGAUAUAUAUGUGUUCAUGACUAUUGGUAAUAUGUGUUGAAUAUGC